RNAcentral lists this ribosomal RNA (406 nucleotides) under Pelophylax nigromaculatus (dark-spotted frog). RNAcentral's name for it is "partial 12S ribosomal RNA". The record is from RNAcentral. Lineage: Eukaryota; Metazoa; Chordata; Amphibia; Anura; Ranidae.
AUAAAGGUUUGGUCCUAGCCUUACCAUCAACUGUUUCUCAAUUUACACAUGCAAGUCUCAGCACACCCGUGAGAACGCCCUUUCAACCUUAACCAGGCCAAGGAGCUGGCAUCAGGCUCAACCUUCUGCCCAUAACGCCUAGUCUCACCACACCCCCAAGGGUAUUCAGCAGUGAUAAAUCUUGCGUAUAAGCGAUAGCUUGACUCAGUUAGAGAAAAGAGGGCCGGCUAACCCGGUGCCAGCCGCCGCGGCUACACCGUGGGGCCCAAGCUGAUGGUCAUCGGCGUUAAUCGUGAUUAAAGUUCCCACCAAUUAGGGUUAAAUUAACACUUAGUAGUGAUAAGCUUGUUGUUAAGAAAACCGUAAACGAAAGUUACCCUAAUUACACUUGAAUACACGACAGCUA